Molecule: ribosomal RNA, 427 nt
Filed under: uncultured bacterium
Lineage: Bacteria
Description: partial 16S ribosomal RNA
Rfam family: Bacterial small subunit ribosomal RNA
Source: RNAcentral
UGGGGAAUAUUGCACAAUGGGCGCAAGCCUGAUGCAGCCAUGCCGCGUGUAUGAAGAAGGCCUUCGGGUUGUAAAGUACUUUCAGCGGGGAGGCAGGUGUUGAGGCUAAUAACCUCAGCAAUUGACGUUACCCGCAGAAGAAGCACCGGCUAACUCCGUGCCAGCAGCCGCGGUAAUACGGAGGGUGCAAGCGUUAAUCGGAAUUACUGGGCGUAAAGCGCACGCAGGCGGUCUGUCAAGUCGGAUGUGAAAUCCCCGGGCUCAACCUGGGAACUGCAUUCGAAACUGGCAGGCUAGAGUCUUGUAGAGGGGGGUAGAAUUCCAGGUGUAGCGGUGAAAUGCGUAGAGAUCUGGAGGAAUACCGGUGGCGAAGGCGGCCCCCUGGACAAAGACUGACGCUCAGGUGCGAAAGCGUGGGGAGCAAACA